CAUUACGGACCUCCCUAGGACCCCAGCGAUCCACGC
RNAcentral lists this transfer RNA (36 nucleotides) under Rhodomonas lens. RNAcentral describes it as "partial Selenocysteine transfer RNA". The record is from RNAcentral. Lineage: Eukaryota; Cryptophyceae; Pyrenomonadales; Pyrenomonadaceae.